UACGAAGGGGGCUAGCGUGGCUCGGAAUCACUGGGCGUAAAGCGCACGUAGGCGGCUUUUUAAGUCAGGGGUGAAAUCCUGGAGCUCAACUCCAGAACUGCCUUUGAUACUGAGAAGCUUGAGUCCGGGAGAGGUGAGUGGAACUGCGAGUGUAGAGGUGAAAUUCGUAGAUAUUCGCAAGAACACCAGUGGCGAAGGCGGCUCACUGGCCCGGUACUGACGCUGAGGUGCG
Molecule: ribosomal RNA, 232 nt
Filed under: uncultured bacterium
Lineage: Bacteria
Description: partial 16S ribosomal RNA
Rfam family: Bacterial small subunit ribosomal RNA
Source: RNAcentral